RNAcentral lists this long non-coding RNA (615 nucleotides) under Salmo salar (Atlantic salmon). RNAcentral describes it as "lncRNA (ENSSSAG00000094547.1)". Lineage: Eukaryota; Metazoa; Chordata; Actinopteri; Salmoniformes; Salmonidae. The record is from RNAcentral.
GACAGGAGAGGAGAGGAGAGCUGUCUAGUAAGGACAGGAGAGGAGAGGAGAGGAGAGGAGAGCUGUCUAGUAAGGACAGGAGAGGAGAGGAGGGCUGUCUAGUAAGGACAGGAGAGGAGAGGAGGGCUGUCUAGUAAGGACAGGACAGGAGAGGAGGGCUGUCUAGUAAGGACAGGAGAGGAGAGGAGGGCUGUCUAGUAAGGACAGGAGAGGAGAGGAGGGCUGUCUAGUAAGGACAGGAGAGGAGAGGAGGGGUGUCUAGUAAGGACAGGACAGGAGAGGAGGGGUGUCUAGUAAGGAGAGGAGAGGAGGGGAGAGGAGGGGUGUCUAGUAAGGACAGGACAGGAGAGGAGGGCUGUCUAGUAAGGACAGGAGAGGAGAGGAGGGCUGUCUAGUAAGGAGAGGAGAGGAGAGGAGGGCUGUCUAGUAAGGACAGGACAGGAGAGGAGAGGAGAGCUGUCUAGUAAGGACAGGAGAGGAGAGGAGAGCUGUCUAGUAAGGACAGGAGAGGAGAGGAGGGCUGUCUAGUAAGGACAGGACAGGACAGGAGAGGAGAGGAGGGCUGUCUAGUAAGGACAGGACAGGAGAGGAGAGGAGAGCUGUCUAGUAAGGACA